GCUUGGUUCGAGUGCAGCAUCUACUGAAAUUGGAACGAAACAGAGAAGAUUAGAAUGUGCCGCGGGGCAAGAGAAGACACGCGCAUCGAGAAGUGUACCAUAUAUUU
Small nuclear RNA from Ochotona princeps (American pika), 107 nucleotides. NCBI's taxonomy places the organism in Eukaryota, Metazoa, Chordata, Mammalia, Lagomorpha, Ochotonidae. The record is from Ensembl.